AGGACGAACGCUGGCGGCGUGCCUAACACAUGCAAGUCGAACGAGGUUGAUCCGGUGGCAACACUGGUGACUACCUAGUGGCGAACGGGUGAGUAACACGUGAGGAACCUGCCCCGAAGACCGGGAUAACUCUCCGAAAGGAGAGCUAAUACCGGAUACCCCCACCUGGUUGCAUGACCGGGUGAGGAAAUGGAUUCCGCUUCGGGAGGGCCUCGCGGCCUAUCAGCUAGUUGGUGGGGUAACGGCCCACCAAGGCAUCGACGGGUAGCUGGUCUGAGAGGACGAUCAGCCACACUGGGACUGAGACACGGCCCAGACUCCUACGGGAGGCAGCAGUGGGGAAUCUUGCGCAAUGGGCGAAAGCCUGACGCAGCAACGCCGCGUGGGGAUGAAGGCUUUCGGGUUGUAAACCCCUUUCAGCAGGGACGAAUCAAGACGGUACCUGCAGAAGAGCCCGGCUAACUACGCGCCAGCAGCCGCGGUAA
RNAcentral lists this ribosomal RNA (485 nucleotides) under uncultured bacterium. Its description in RNAcentral is "SSU rRNA". It matches the Rfam family "Bacterial small subunit ribosomal RNA", at positions 26 to 523 of the family's 1533-position model. The record is from RNAcentral.